This is a long non-coding RNA of Pygocentrus nattereri (red-bellied piranha), 1650 nucleotides long. RefSeq lists it as uncharacterized. The record is from RefSeq and is a predicted model, not a curated record. The transcript has 2 exons. Lineage: Eukaryota; Metazoa; Chordata; Actinopteri; Characiformes; Serrasalmidae.
UGCAAGUUCAUGAUGCCAAAACAGCAUUUAUGGUUAAGCUCUCUGUUCCUGUUUGUGUUUAUAUGUUGGCAGAAGUGUAUACUCAUUUCUGAAUGCCAUUUGUAUCAUGUAAGGGUUGGAGAAAUUCUGCAGUAUUUUUACAUAUAUGCACAGAAGGCCCCUUUCACAUAUAUAGCAAAUGUAAUAUAGCAAGGGCUGGUAAAUGAGGGGCUGUUGAGCAGCUGAUGUAACAGUUGGAUUGGGGGAGGUGUUAUUUUAAGCCUACUGUUUAAAGGAAAAGGGAAAGACUAAGGGAUGUGAAUAGAGCUGAGAGAGGCAGUCCACCUGUUUCUGUCCCCCCUCCACUCAGUCCUGAGGGUCUAAGCUGCAGCACAAGGAGCCAGAAUAUCUGGUCUUAGCCCCUGCAAAUCCACACAUACCUUAAGCAGCUUCCCUUCAGGACCUCAGCUCCUAUACUGAUGUGCCAAACUGUGUGGCUUGCUCCACUGGAUGAACAGGCACGUGAUUUGGUGAACUAAGAGAAAAGGUGUGUGACAUGUUUGCAUUAAGGGUAAAAAAGGCUCUUGAAAGUGCUUAAUGGAACCUAUGAGUGAACAACUACACAAUCAAUACACUAUUAUAAAUGCAAUACUGCUCCAGCUCCCAAAUCACAGACUUUCCUGUUUUAGAUUGUAAGCAAGGUUCAUGAGGUGCUUCCUAUGUAUAGCUGGCUUAUGAUGUGCGCGGACUCCAUACAGUGGACAGGAGUUUCUUAAGGCCAAAAUUAGAACUGACUUAUAAGUCCUCUCCUCCCUUCUUGUAUUCUUUCUCACAUUAUGUGUCUUUUCAUGUUUGGUUCCAUUAAGGGUCUAUAUUGGUGCUGAGUGGGAUGCCAUUAAAGGUCUCGCUAGAUCACCUUUAAUUUUCUAAAUCAAAACUGUCCUUUGAUAAAUGGAUGUUAGUUGAAACUCUUCCUGGUGUCUGUUUUCUUUUAUGGGUUGCAAGUAGUUUCCCUGAUGAGGGCCGGUGUGGCUACAGACUUCCAAUUUGCAAUCAAGCAGGAGCACAUCUCAUAAAAUAUGACUGAAAGUUGGACUUUUGACAUGGCUAACUGGCUAGUUUCUUAGUAUUUUAAUUUUAAACCCCAGGGAAAGCAGGUAAUAGUGUGCAACCACUUCCUGAACAGCACGACACAUUCACAUGCAUAAGGACAUCCUAAUUAAACUCUACUGAAAUGUUAAACUCCCAAUAUUCAAUUUAUAUCUGUUGCUUAGUCUAGGUUGUGAAGACGAACACUAGCGGAGCAGCAAGGCUACUAAGGAGUGGUGCUUAACAUCUAUGACCUUCAGUGCCUUUGUUACAGUCUCCAAUUUAAUGGAAGUAUGUGCAGCUUGAAGAUUCUUCACUGUUUCAUGACACUGAGGCCUCUCUUCCGCUUCUGUAAUUUAAACCAGAGUUUGCAUGAGUCACUGGUUUCUAUAGAGACUGAGCUGGAAUGUUCCCCUCAAUCACGGGUUUCCUCAUCCAGACCUGGUCACAUGACACAUCAUACCAUGGAUCACUCUGGAAAAUUCAGCUGUCUAUGGCAUGUGCCCUCUCUCCUUAGAGAAAAAGAAAUGAGACUGUGUGUACAUUCCCAAUCCUAUAAAAUAAACCGUUUUUGAAGACUGG